AUUAUUUUUAAAAAAACUCUUUUUCAGUUGAUGGAUUCUGUAGAGUCUAAGUACGCACAUGAUUUUGAUAAAAUUGAUCAGACCAAUUGUGAUUAUGGGAAGGAGAAGGCUUGGAAUAUAGAUGUUGACAAGGUUAUCGAGAAGAUAAGUGGAGGUGGAACAGAUGAAGAUUCGAUAACUGAGUUCACCAGUGAAACUGAUACUAUUGAUCAACUAGUGGAGAAAGCUAAAGAAUCCAACAUUAUCUAAUAAUUUGAACAAUUAUCAAAAUUAUUUUGAUAUUUACAAAAUAUUAUUCUAACAUUUAUAUCAUUAUAUCGUUAAUCUGCUUAGUGACAUUUCAUCAGAAAUGAAAAUAAAAAUUUUUUUGUA
Molecule: long non-coding RNA, 372 nt
Organism: Eurytemora carolleeae
Lineage: Eukaryota; Metazoa; Arthropoda; Copepoda; Calanoida; Temoridae
Exons: 3
Source: RefSeq, a predicted model, not a curated record